AACCAAGUGAACCACAAAGAUCAAGAGAGAAAGAUAAGAGAUUUAGAGGGGAACCCGCCUUAACCUCCUAAAAGACCGGAUUUCUCUUCGGCCAGCAGGCUUUCUCUUCCACCACCACACCACAAACAAAUCAAACUUUGGAAUAUCUUUUUUUUUUUAUAUACUUUUCCUUUUUUUUUUUAAUAGAUCUUUCUUUUUUUUUUUUUAUGGGGGUAAUGAGGGGCCCGGGUUCAAGAUAGAUAGAUAAGAAAUCUAGAUGAAGAAUAUGGAAGAUGAGAUGAAAUGGAUUGAAAAAGAGUUACCGAGAGAGUGGCUCUGAUACCACUUGAUAGAACCAAAAUAAGGAUCACUCUUUCGGUAAGGUUGAUAUGAACUCAGAUCCGAGAGGAUUGAGAACUGAUGGAUCGAGGGGUGACACUAAGGGUUGCGGAUUAGCCCAAAGAUACUACCAGAGAUUCGAAGGUUGCCGGAUGUGACGCACCGGUCCAACACAA
Molecule: long non-coding RNA, 494 nt
Filed under: Brassica napus (rape)
Lineage: Eukaryota; Viridiplantae; Streptophyta; Magnoliopsida; Brassicales; Brassicaceae
Description: long non-coding RNA (BNAP_LNC006216)
Source: RNAcentral